RNAcentral lists this ribosomal RNA (253 nucleotides) under uncultured bacterium. RNAcentral's name for it is "partial 16S ribosomal RNA". It matches the Rfam family "Bacterial small subunit ribosomal RNA", at positions 524 to 776 of the family's 1533-position model. The record is from RNAcentral.
UACGGAGGGUGCAAGCGUUGUUCGGAAUCACUGGGCGUAAAGGGAGCGUAGGCGGACUUACAAGUCUGAUGUGAAAGCCCGGGGCUCAACCCCGGAAGUGCAUUGGAAACUGUAGGUCUUGAGUUCGGGAGAGGAAGGCAGAAUUCCCGGUGUAGGGGUGAAAUCCGUAGAGAUCGGGAGGAAAACCAGUGGCGAAGGCGGCCUUCUGGAACGUAACUGACGCUGAGGCUCGAAAGCGUGGGGAGCAAACAGG